RNAcentral lists this long non-coding RNA (19195 nucleotides) under Brassica rapa (field mustard). RNAcentral's name for it is "long non-coding RNA (BRAP_LNC001189)". The record is from RNAcentral. Lineage: Eukaryota; Viridiplantae; Streptophyta; Magnoliopsida; Brassicales; Brassicaceae.
CGGGCAUUGGAAACUUGGUGGAGCAAAUCUGCUACAAGCAUUUAAAAGUACACUGAUAUCGAUGGGAAGGUGAACGUUGAUGCCAAGAACGUUAACGUCGAGCGCGGUACAGAGACAGACUGCAGCCUCAAGGUCAGCCAAGCCUGCAAUGAGCGAGCAGCACGGCGGUACUGGUGGCGGUGGGUUUCCUAAUGUUAAGUCAAUUGCAUUGAGCACAUUAGUGCAAGCACCGAUCUGAAGGGCAUUUCUAGGACAAGUGCCUUGAGCAGUAGUGUAAGUGAAGAAGAGGAGGUUAAGGAAAAGGAAGAGUGCAAGAGAGGUUCUUGGAGCCAUUUGUUUGUGUACCAGAAAAACUCUGAAACAAAAUCUCAGGAAGUAGUAGUGUGUUUAUAUUCUUUGAGAAGGGUGGAGAUAAAUUAUGGGAGUUAUAGCGGAUAUUUAUAGAAUUUUCUGUAGGAGAGUCAUAAAUUGGUUUCUACAAGAGAUUAGUUGACUAUUUUUUUUCAUAUUUAUGAGUCGACUAUAAUAAGUAGACGCAAUAGUUAUUGUCUAAUUAGUUGGCAAAUCAUAAAAAGGAAUAUUGUACAAAUUAUAGAGUAGAGUAAACUACUAUUAUAAGUUUGUUAGCCAUUCUACCCUGUCUCCACGUUUAAACAAAACAUAUAAUCAAGAAUAUUAUUUACGAUUUAUAACUUUUGACUGUUUUAUAAUUUGAAGUUUAGAAAUAAAUAGUACAAUCUUAAUUUACAAAAUCUACAAAUGUUUAUGUGGAAGCGGCAGGUUCAAAGAUGAUACAGACUAAUAUCAAUAGCAGUGGGAGCCGUGACAAAAUGAAAAGAUAUAAUCGUUUUGUUUGUUGUUUAACGUUCAAACAUAUUUUUGAUGACAUACGUAAUUUCACAUGAGUUCAUUAUAUAUGAUUUUAUUGCAGUGUAUUAAGAGAUACACAAGAUCGACCAUAUCUUGGUUUAAAAUAUCAUGACUAUUCAAGAAAAUUGAAGAAACUGACCACAUAUAUACUAUAUUUGAAACUGGCUAUAUUACUCAAUACCACAGUUUACAAAUUUACGUUCCGAAGCUCGUACCACCGUUCAGAACAGCAGAUCCAAUUACAUUAUUAGGAUGCAGAACGAACCACUUUCCACCAGACGUCAAACCUCUCUUCCGGAAGCUCGCACCGCCAAAGACGAAGGUAAAUAUAUGGUGGAGGAAACAUGUUACCGGUUCAGGCGCCGUUGACGUGAAUGACGUGCCAAAUCUCUGAAAACCAAAAACCAAAAACCAAAUCUGACGGCUCACUUCAGCCCUAAAAGCCAGCCCUUCCGCAUCCAUCACACUAUGAGUCUUGUUGCUGCGCCAUAAAAUGCAUGUUGCUGUCACCAUCGACCUCAAACAAUUCUUCAUAUAAGAUCUCGACAAACAUAAAAAACUUGUUUAUAGACUAGGGUUAAGCAGAUGGAUAAAAAGAAUAAUGAGAAAGAAAAUUAUGGUUGGAGGAGGAAACCUCCGGCACCAACCAGAGCCAGAACAGAGCUAGCUUUUUACUUUGCUUUUUGUCUACACGGAGCGACAGAAAAAAGAAAAAUAUCGUUCAAAUACAGAAGAUGAAAUUUUGGCUGAUUAAAAAAUAUUCAAAAGAGAAAAAGAAAAAAUUAAAUUGAGAUAUUUUUGUUCAUGAAGUUUUCAUAAUGAUUGUCUUUACUUAUUUCAUUUAUCAAUAAAUACGUCAGAAAAUUAUAUUAAAUAUUUAUAAUGAUUUCUCAUAGACUAAACAAUUUAAAUUCAUGCGGCUUCAUUAUAUAAUUACAGGGAUAAAUAAUUUCGUUAAAAUUAUAUAUGUGCUACGUCGCACCCUCAACCUACUAUACCAAUCUCAAUCUGUAAGAGUGAUUAGAAUGGAAUAAUUGUUCUUUAUUCCUUCAUGAUAGGUUGUUCACGGCAUGAACAUAUAUUAUCUUUCAACGAAUUCUAUUUCAUUGGCAGACUAGUAUCAUUAUUUAGUCUAAGCAUAAUCUCACAUGAAGAAACAUUCAUGGUUCAUUUUGCAUUUGUUAUAUAUAUCCAUGCCAUAUGGACGGACUUAUCAUACAAUAUCCGUAUGUUUGUCAAUAAUAUAUAUUAGUAAGUUUCAACGAGAGCAAUAAUACAUCGACAGUUUCAAAACAAACUAUGCCUUUUCAUGAAUAGACUUCUUGUAUUAAUGUUCCGAGAACCCGAACGAGUGUCCUUGAAACCCAUAAGGCGACAAUGGGCCCACGAAGUUCCAUGGCCAAUGCCGACAGCAAGAGACGAUCCAUGACCAGCUCAAGAGACUGUCCAUGCCGAGCUGAUACUUUGAAACUACAAUAUAAAAGAGGUCAAAGCAUUUAAUACUAUCAUAUAGGCAUAUGAACCUCAUCAGAGAUCACGUUUCCAUUAUGUUCCACUCUAAGACCUUUGAAAGAGAGAUCAAAGACUACGAGAAGAGGACACGGACACAGAUCCGGCUUCGAAACCUCAGUGAAAUGCCAAUCAAACCAGUAGAAACCUGAUAUUAUGAUACUUGAAACCCAUAUAUUUGCUUUAUCUGGUUUUCAAUCUUCAACAAGAACUAAUCCAAACCAUAGCUCAUCUCAAAUCACAAACCUUAAUAGCCAUGGAACCACAAAACCAAAGAAUAGAUCAAAUUCUUUGCCAUAAGAAUAAGUGAGGAGAUCAUCGGUUACGUCGCACUCUCCAUUCGCGCCCUAGCUAUAUUUCUAAACGAAUAUUCAAGUAUUAACUUAUAAUCAAUAAUUAUAAUCUAUUAUAUAAUAGGAGAGUUUCUCUCCUCCUGAUGCGACACGUCAGCGGUUUGUGGGUUCCACUUUUUAAAAGUAUGAAAAAAUGUCAAAUAUGUGGCUCGAACCAGGGUUAUUGAGAUAUAAGCACCCACAACUAUACCAUUGCACUAAAGGAUACUUUGUACAUUGACGGUCGAAACUAAUAUAUAUUAGAAAGGUGGAAAACUAAUAUAACAUUGUGGUCUCCACCUCUUUUUUUUUUUUUUAAGUGAUGGGUAACGAAUGGACUUCGAAAAAAAAUGGGCUUUGGGCUUAUUGAUUUUCUGUUUAUUAGGCUUUGUAUCUGUCCAAAGUGGUGAUACUGACAAAGCUAAGAAGAUUAGGGAAGUCGCCAUCUUCACCAUCUCCUUCGUCGUUUGCGAUUCCCCUUCCGGCAAUCAACUAUUAUGGUCAAUCUUUAAGGCUCUACGCACGUUUUGCGCCUACCAAACGCUUAGUUUCUCCUCUAACGCCUUCAGAGCUCUCAUAUAUAUAGAAUCCCUCGAGGUAAAAGCUCCAUCUUGUCUCAAACUUUUCUUUCUCAGUUUUUCAAUCGCUUUACUUUCUCACAUCUGGACUUUCCAGCUGCUCCAGCCGCUUCAGCAUUAACAAGAAUGGAGAGUUUAUGGGCAUCACCAUUCUCCUCCUUGAUGAACUGGUGAUGAUUGUUUCUAAUUUAUUUUUUAUCACUUUAACUCUUCUUUGCUUAUUCUUUGUUCAUAUAUGAAACAUGUCUUCAUCUUUUUGUUUUGGUUUUGUCUAUAAGUUUUUUUAUGAACAACUAAUGAUUUUUCUCUGUUUUUCUUACAGGAUUUUGUGAUCUACGGUUUCAUCUCUGCAAUCUCCAAACAAAACAGGAAAACUGAAUGAAUUAUGUUUUUAGCAACCGAAUCUAAAAGAAAUAAAAGACAUCUUACUUAACAAAUUAAAACCUUUUCUUUUGCAGAUUCCGACGACGACGACGAAGCACCCGAGGACUGACGACAAUGGAAUGAUGCGGACGAAGCCUAACUGAUGUAAGUAAACUCCUCUUCAAUAACACAUCACACUAUUAUCGCUCCCCAAUCUCACAAACUUAAGCUCUAAUCAUGCCAGGGAUCCCACAGGUCAUGCUGUCCCGACGACGGAGAAAAAAAAAGAAAGAUAACCUAACGUUUUUUUUAUUUUUAGUUUUUAAGUUCAAAUCAUGUUUUAGACAUAAAGCCCAACAUAAUUUGAGCCCAAACAUUUUAAACCCACAAUUACUUUUUCAUAAUAUAAAAACGUCAACUUUCGUUUAUGUUUUGUUAAACUAUUUUAAUCUUUAUGUUUUGUUAAACUAUUUCACACAAAGGCAGAUCUCCUUAGAAGGGGAGCCACUCGCCACGAUGCUUCCAGUUUCCCCAUUCUUGAAACUCUUAUAAACCACAAAGCCAAUAUAAGAGCUCUGUUUCAAUCCAACGGCUGGAUUUUGUCACAAACCACCCCUAAGCCUAAAGAGGGAAGAGAAGUGGAGUGCUGCGUUUUGGAAGAUGGUUACUUGGAGUUUACAAGAUGAAGAUGGAACCCGUGACGAGGAAGACGAGGAGAAGUGUUACUUGGAAUAUCCUAAGUCCUAACGUUGAGGAUGUAGACAAUGUGUGAUCUUAGCGAUGAAAAUUAGUGUAGCUUUAAAAUAUGCUACUACGGUCCUUGAGCUCCCUAACAAGUACUAGCAAACAAUGUGUAUUUUGAAAAAAUAAAAUAAUUUUGUAAUGCAAGUAGUUUGAAACUUUGAGUAUUUAUUCAAACAACGGAUAUAUACAAAGUUGAUAACUUGAUAUGGAUCUCCAAAUAAGUUGGUGCUACGCUAUCAUAAUAUCUGUCUUUUUAAGCUUCUUCAUCUUCUUCUCUUUCUCUUUCCGUUGUUCCACGCUCUCUGUUUCAUGUUUAGCUCUCUGUUUCAUGUUUAGGGCUUUUUUAUAUUCUCUAUAUUUCACCUUAAUUAUACUUUUUGAAUUUUCCUUCCAUUUUGGGAGGUGUCUCUAACUUGAGUUAAUCGUCAAAAGCUAGGAUCAAUUUUGUUGUCUUACUUCCGAUAAAUUUUAUUCUUUAAUUUGCACAAAUCUUAAACAACACCAACAUCCCGUAAAUCAUACCAAAGUGGUGAUACUGACAAAGCUAAGAAGAUUAGGGAAGUCGCCAUCUUCACCAUCUCCUUCGUCGUUUGCGAUUCCCCUUCCGGCAAUCAACUAUUAUGGUCAAUCUUUAAGGCUCUACGCACGUUUUGCGCCUACCAAACGCUUAGUUUCUCCUCUAACGCCUUCAGAGCUCUCAUAUAUAUAGAAUCCCUCGAGGUAAAAGCUCCAUCUUGUCUCAAACUUUUCUUUCUCAGUUUUUCAAUCGCUUUACUUUCUCACAUCUGUCACAAAAAUGACUUAUCCAGCUGCUCCAGCCGCUUCAGCCGUCGUUCCCUACUCCACCUUCAACUCCCUCCGGCGUUAGUGUUGGUCGGCUCAUCCGAUUCUAGGAUUUCAGGAACAUUAACAAGAAUGGAGAGUUUAUGGGCAUCACCAUUCUCCUCCUUGAUGAACUGGUGAUGAUUGUUUCUAAUUUAUUUUUUAUCACUUUAACUCUUCUUUGCUUAUUCUUUGUUCAUAUAUGAAACAUGUCUUCAUCUUUUUGUUUUGGUUUUGUCUAUAAGUUUUUUUAUGAACAACUAAUGAUUUUUCUCUGUUUUUCUUACAGGAUUUUGUGAUCUACGGUUUCAUCUCUGCAAUCUCCAAACAAAACAGGAAAACUGAAUGAAUUAUGUUUUUAGCAACCGAAUCUAAAAGAAAUAAAAGACAUCUUACUUAACAAAUUAAAACCUUUUCUUUUGCAGAUUCCGACGACGACGACGAAGCACCCGAGGACUGACGACAAUGGAAUGAUGCGGACGAAGCCUAACUGAUGUAAGUAAACUCCUCUUCAAUAACACAUCACACUAUUAUCGCUCCCCAAUCUCACAAACUUAAGCUCUAAUCAUGCCAGGGAUCCCACAGGUCAUGCUGUCCCGACGACGGAGAAAAAAAAAGAAAGAUAACCUAACGUUUUUUUUAUUUUUAGUUUUUAAGUUCAAAUCAUGUUUUAGACAUAAAGCCCAACAUAAUUUGAGCCCAAACAUUUUAAACCCACAAUUACUUUUUCAUAAUAUAAAAACGUCAACUUUCGUUUAUGUUUUGUUAAACUAUUUUAAUCUUUAUGUUUUGUUAAACUAUUUCACACAAAGGCAGAUCUCCUUAGAAGGGGAGCCACUCGCCACGAUGCUUCCAGUUUCCCCAUUCUUGAAACUCUUAUAAACCACAAAGCCAAUAUAAGAGCUCUGUUUCAAUCCAACGGCUGGAUUUUGUCACAAACCACCCCUAAGCCUAAAGAGGGAAGAGAAGUGGAGUGCUGCGUUUUGGAAGAUGGUUACUUGGAGUUUACAAGAUGAAGAUGGAACCCGUGACGAGGAAGACGAGGAGAAGUGUUACUUGGAAUAUCCUAAGUCCUAACGUUGAGGAUGUAGACAAUGUGUGAUCUUAGCGAUAAAAAUUAGUGUAGCUUUAAAAUAUGCUACUACGGUCCUUGAGCUCCCUAACAAGUACUAGCAAACAAUGUGUAUUUUGAAAAAAUAAAAUAAUUUUGUAAUGCAAGUAGUUUGAAACUUUGAGUAUUUAUUCAAACAACGGAUAUAUACAAAGUUGAUAACUUGAUAUGGAUCUCCAAAUAAGUUGGUGCUACGCUAUCAUAAUAUCUGUCUUUUUAAGCUUCUUCAUCUUCUUCUCUUUCUCUUUCCGUUGUUCCACGCUCUCUGUUUCAUGUUUAGCUCUCUGUUUCAUGUUUAGGGCUUUUUUAUAUUCUCUAUAUUUCACCUUAAUUAUACUUUUUGAAUUUUCCUUCCAUUUUGGGAGGUGUCUCUAACUUGAGUUAAUCGUCAAAAGCUAGGAUCAAUUUUGUUGUCUUACUUCCGAUAAAUUUUAUUCUUUAAUUUGCACAAAUCUUAAACAACACCAACAUCCCGUAAAUCAUACCCUCCCCCCCCCCCCCCACCAAUAUCCAAAGUAACCAGCUCCGCGCUUGCGCGGGGUCUCAGCACCUAGUUUAUAUAAUAAGAUAGUUAAAAAUGCUCUUAGCAACACAUAAUUUUUAUAUAACUUGGUAUUCUUAUACCAUAUGGAUACAGAGUUAGAAUCAAACCAUGAUAUCCUUUUAACCUUUUUAGAUCGUCAAUGGCACAUGAGCGAGACCACUGUUCUAUUUCUUCACAAAACUGAUGCACAUUUGCCAAAAAAAAAAUAUUUCUUGCAUACAUAUAUAUAAAUACAUAUUUCUUUUAUAACAUCACGAUUUCGUCUUUUAGUUACCAGUACAACAAGUUUGUAGUUAUCUAUAGUAAUAAUAACUGCACUAUUAUGUAGUUUGAUAAAAGUGUAUUAAAGUAAUGUAGUAGUGACUACAUAUAUUUCUUCCCUUUUAUGACAACAAUUUUGGUUUGGAGAUAGUUCGAUCAGAGUAGAGCCAAAAUGUAUUCAGCUCAAUUAAGCUAGAAAUACUCUCCCCCGUUUCAAAAUGUUAUAUAUUUUAGACUUUUCACACAUGUUAAUAAAACACUUUAAUUUUCAUAAUUUUUGUGAUUAUUUUUCCCAUAAUUUUAAGUUUUUUGAAGUUUGCAAUUAGAUAAUAAAACAUGAAUUGAAAAUCCAAAAAUUAGAUCAUUUUGAAACAAAUUUUUUUUCUAUAAUAUGGAAUUUUAUGAAACAGAACGAGUAUUUUGUUUCCAUUUCGUUACCAAAAAUUAAGCACAUGCCAUUAAUUAAUGCUUACAACAGAAUUACUAAACCGUGUUGUUUUCAGUGAGAUCGUAUCAUUUUACCUUGCUUUUUUCGAUACACAUAUAAGCCCGAUAUAGAUAACAACACCGAUUGAAGCUUUUAUUAAUCAAAUUCGAACGAAAAGUUUUACAAACGAAGGUAAGGAAGAACAAUGAAGUAAAAGGGCAACGAACAUGGCGAUUACACACACAAACCCAUUAUUGCAUGAGAACGUUACACUCGUCAUUUUAUUCAAUCGAAGGAAGUUACAAAUACAAAAGAAAUCACCAGUUAAAAAGCAAAAGACGACAGGCAACAAGUUCAACCUUUAUUUUUUCGGUAUGUCUUCAGAUAUCUCAUACGUAUUCAACUUACGGGCAUUGGAAACUUGGUGGAGCAAAUCUGCUACAAGCAUUUAAAAGUACACUGAUAUCGAUGGGAAGGUGAACGUUGAUGCCAAGAACGUUAACGUCGAGCGCGGUACAGAGACAGACUGCAGCCUCAAGGUCAGCCAAGCCUGCAAUGAGCGAGCAGCACGGCGGUACUGGUGGCGGUGGGUUUCCUAAUGUUAAGUCAAUUGCAUUGAGCACAUUAGUGCAAGCACCGAUCUGAAGGGCAUUUCUAGGACAAGUGCCUUGAGCAGUAGUGUAAGUGAAGAAGAGGAGGUUAAAGAAAAGGAAGAGUGCAAGAGAGGUUCUUGGAGCCAUUUGUUUGUGUACCAGAAAAACUCUGAAACAAAAUCUCAGGAAGUAGUAGUGUGUUUAUAUUCUUUGAGAAGGGUGGAGAUAAAUUAUGGGGGUUAUAGUGGAUAUUUAUAGAAUUUUCUGUGGGAGAGUCAUAAAUUGGUUUCUACAAGAGAUUAGUUGACUUUUUUUUUUCAUAUUUAUGAGUCGACUAUAAUAAGUAGACGCAAUAGUUAUUGUCUAAUUAGUUGGCAAAUCAUAAAAAGGAAUAUUGUACAAAUUAUAGAGUAGAGUAAACUACUAUUAUAAGUUUGUUAGCCACUCUACCCUGUCUCCACGUUUAAACAAAACAUAUAAUCAAGAAUAUUAUUUACGAUUUAUAACUUUUGACUGUUUUAUAAUUUGAAGUUUAGAAAUAAAUAGUACAAUCUUAAUUUACAAAAUCUACAAAUGUUUAUGUGGAAGCCGCAGGUUCAAAGAUGAUACAGACUAAUAUCAAUAGCAGUGGGAGCCGUGACAAAAUGAAAAGAUAUAAUCGUUUUGUUUGUUGUUUAACGUUCAAACAUAUUUUUGAUGACAUACGUAAUUUCACAUGAGUUCAUUAUAUAUGAUUUUAUUGCAGUGUAUCAAAAGAUACACAAGAUCGACCAUAUCUUGGUUUAAAAUAUCAUGACUAUUCAAGAAAAAUGAAGAAACUGACCACAUAUAUACUAUAUUUGAAACUGGCUAUAUUACUCAAUACCACAGUUUACAUAUUUACGUUCCAUAGAAUUUAAGAAAGCUAAGUUAAUUCUAUUUAUUUAUAUCUAUGCAUUUUAAAUUUUUGUUCUCAUAAAAUUCUAAUAUAUACUAAAUCGUUACGAACAUAUUUCCUACUCUCCUCAAUUAUUUUCAUAUAAUAUUUAGGGUUUUAUUUCUGAUAUUGUAGCUUCUGCAGAUUAAUCAAUAUAAAAACUAUAUGAAAAGUAGAACCAUCUGUCUUGGUAUUGUAUGUUGCAAAUUUUAUUCGAAAAGAAUCUACUUAUUAUGAGUGUAAGUGUAAUUCAGAUGUAAUCCAUGUUAUGGGAGAAUCAAUAUUAUGAAGAGGGAGCUGCACCUGGAGUUAUGGGAGAGGAAUCAAUGUUAUGAACAGAGCUGCACAUGGAGUUAUUGUUCAUGAAUUUUUCUUUGGCUCAAACAUCAAUGUAUAUUCACUAAAUCAUGGUAUGCUAUCAUAUACUUUACAAGAGGUUUCGACCACCAUCACACAAAUAGGAUCAAAAUAGUAAUAUUUAGAAGAAUUCAAGGGCUUCCUACGAUACCUAAUUGCCCUGAAGUGUGCACUUAACAAAAGACAUAAACGAGAACCAAUUCAUUCAGCCAAAAUCGUAAGUAAUAAAAUGUCUCAUGCACCUCACAGUUACAAAGACAAAAUCUAUCGAUGGACUAGACCUAAUUAAGACUAUAAUUUUCUACAUAGUUGAUUGUAGCCAACAAUAUUAGAGUGAUAUUCAUGUAUUGAAAACUUGACACCAAAGGUGUGUUCCUAGAUUAGAUCUAAUAUAACCGCUUAUUAAAAUCUCGAACCCAUUGCCAACAAGACGGGACCAAUGAGUCUGAAAUGAAACGAAAGUUAGGCCUUGAAAAUAGGUACAUACUGGUCCAAAAGUAAUUUCAAGAGAUUCGAAGCUCGUACCACCGUUCAGAACAGAAGACCCAAUUACAUUAUAGGAUGCAGAACGAACCACUUUUCACCAGACGUCAUACCUCUCUUCCGGAAGCUCCCACCGCCAAAGACGAAGGUAAAUAUAUGGUGGAGGAAGCAUGUUACCGGUUCAGGCACCGUUGACGUGAAUGACGUGCCAGAUCUCUGAAAACCAAAAACCAAAUCUGACGGGUCACUUCAGCCCUAAAAGCCAGCCCUUCCGCAUCCAUCACACUGAAUCUUGUUGCUGCGCCAUAAAAUGCAUGUUGCUGUCACCAUCGACCUCACACAAUUCUUCAUAUAAGAUCUCGACAAGCAUAAAAAACUUGCUUAUGGACUAGGGUUAAGCAGAUGGAUAGAAAGAAAAAUGAGAGAAAAUUAUGGUUGGAGGAGGAAACCUCCGGCACCAACCAGAGCCAGAACGGAGCUAACUUUUUACUUUGCUUUUUGUCUACACAGAGCGACAAAAAAAAGAGAAAUAUCGUUCAAAUACAGAAGAGAUAAUUCUGGCUGAUUAAAAAAUAUUCAAAAGAGAAAAAGAGAAAAUUAAAUUGAAAUAUUUUUGUUCAUGAAAUUUUUAUAAUGAUUGCCUUUACUUAUUUCAUUUAUCAAUAAAUAUGUAAUAACAUUAUAUUAAAUAUUUAUAAUGAUUUAUCAUAGACUAACACUUUAAAUUUAUGCGGCUUCAUUAUAUAAUUACAGGGAUAAAUAAUUUCGUUAAAAUUAUAUAUGUGCUACGUCGCACCCUCAACCUACUAUACCAAUAUCAAAUCUGUAAGAGUGAUUAGAAUGGAUAAAUUGUUCUUUAUUCCUUCAUGAUAGGUUGUUCACGACAUGAACAUAUAUUAUCUUUCAACGAAUUCUAUUUCAUUGGCAGACUAGUAUCAUUAUUUAGUCUAAGCAUAAUCUCACAUGAAGAAACAUUCAUGGCUUCAUUUUUCAUUUGUUAUAUAUAUCCAUGCCAUAUGGACGGACUUAUCAUACAAUAUCCGUAUGUUGUCAAUAAUAUAUAUUAUUAAGUUUCAACGAGAGCAAUAAUACAUCGACAGUUCCAAAACAAACCAUGCCUUUUCAUGAAUAGACUUCCUGUAUUAGUAUUCCGAGAACCCGAUCGAACGAGUGUCCUUGAAACCCAUAAGGCGACAAUGGGCCCACCAAGUUCCAUGCCCAAUGCCGAGCGCAAGAGACGGUCCAUGGCGAGCUCAAGAGACGGUCCAUCAGGGCCGGCUCACUUUGAUAAUGGGCCCUGAGCCGAAAUAUAUAUCUUGGGAGGAUUUAUGUAUAGUAUUAAAUUUUAUGGUUUUUUUACAAGUUUUCAAAAUUUUAAGGCCCUAACUAGUAAAAGAAAUUUGUUAAAAGUAGAGUGGACCCUGUGCAAAUGCACUGUUGGCACUCCCUCUAAACCGGCAAUGGGUCCAUGCCGAGCUGAUACUUUGAAACUACAAUAUAAAAGAGGUCGAAGCAUUUAAUACUAUCAUAUAGACACGUUUCCAUUAUGUUCCACUCUUAAGACCUUUAAAAGAGAGAUCAAAGACUAGAGAAGAGGACACGGACACGGAUCCGGCUUAGAAACCUCAGUGAAAUGCCAGUCAAACCCGUAGAAACCUGAUAUUAUGAUACUUGAAACCCAUAUAUUCGCUUUAUCUGGUUUUUAAUCUUCAACAAGAACUAGUCCAAACCAUAGCUCAUCUCAAAUCACAAACCUUGAUAGCCAUGGAACCCCAAAACUAAAGAAUAGAUCAAAUUCUUUGCCAUAAAAAUAAGUGAUGAGAUCAUCGGUUACAUCGCACACUCCAUUCGCGCCCUAGCUAUAUUUCUAAACAAAUAUUCAAGUAUCAUCUUAUAAUCAAUAAUUAUAAUUUAUAUAAUAAGAUAGUUAAAAAUGCUCUUAGUGACACAUAAUUUUUAACUUGGUAUUCUUAUACCACAUGGAUAUAGAGUUAGAAUCAAACCAUGAUAUCCUUUUAACCUUUUUAGAUCGUCAACGGUACUGGAGCGAGACCAUUGUUCUAUUUCUUCACAAAACUGAUGCACAUUUGCCAAAAAAAAAAUUCUUGCAUACAUAUAUAUAAAUACAUAUUUCUUCUAUAACAUCACGAUUUCGUCCUUUAGUACCAGUACAACAAGUUUGUAGUUAUCUAGAAAAUAGUAAUAUUAACUGUACUAUUAUGUAGUUUGAUAAAAGUGUAUUAAAGUAAUGUAAUAGCGACUACAAUAUGACGGCUAGGGCUUUGGGGGGUGAUUUUAGGGUUUUGGGUGAGGAAGUGCAGGAUGAGAAUAUGGAGGAGAUCGGGGAGCAUGGGAGACCGCCCGGAGAUCUACCGGAUGCUCCAGGCUCUUGGGUGAAGAAGGUAUUAGGGUGCAAUGAAGGAGGGAUGCCUGUACCGGAGGAAAUUGUGGACGAGACUUUUGUGGAAGCAAAUCUGAAACUAGAGUUCCCUAAUGGUGAGGAUGGAGAACCGGUGAUAACGAUUGGACAGGAGGUUUUGAGUGCUAUGAAUGGUUUAUGGAAGAGAUGUAUGAUUGUUAAGGUCUUGGGGAGGAGUAUCCCAUUAUUGAGCUUAACGAGAAGGUUGAAGGAGCUAUGGAAACCUGCGGGAUCAAUGUUUGUGAUGGAUCUCCCGAAGAAUUUUUUCAUGGUUCGUUUUGGAGUAGAGGAGGAGUAUAUGAAUGCGCUAUCAGGUGGCCCAUGGAGGGCUUUUGGGAGUUACCUUAUGGUGCAAGCAUGGACGCCCGAGUUUGAUCCGCUGAGGGACGAGAUAGUUACGACACCGGUUUGGGUUCGUUUAGCACAUAUCCCAGUUAAUUUUUAUCAUAAAACGAUACUGAUGGGGAUUGCCAAGGGGUUAGGAAAACCGAUCAAGGUUGACUGCACCACGUUAAAAGUCGAAAGAGCUAGAUUUGCGAGAAUUUGUGUGGAGGUUAACCUGAAUAAGCCAUUGAAAGGGACAGUGAUGAUUAAUGGUGAGAGGUACUGCGUAUCAUAUGAAGGAAUCUCGACGAUCUGCUCGUCAUGUGGUAUGUAUGGACAUCUAGCCCAUUCAUGCCCACGUAAGGUACUGGAGGAAACUCCUAUAAAUGCGGUUGUUCCAGUGGACAGGACACAAAAGAGUACGGAGGUUGCAGGUAUGGAUACAGAUUUUACCCUAGUGAGACAGGCGAGGAAAGGGCUAACUCAGAAUGGGCAGAGAGGAGUUACACUGCGGAGUAAUGAAAGUAGGGAGAUGGUAGGAAACAAGACGUUGAUCGGUAGUAAAAGUCGAGGGGUUCGUCAAGAGAAUAUGUCGGAGGACAUAAGGGUUUCAAAUAGGUUUGGAGGGUUGAAUGUGGAGGAGGAUAUGGAGGAACAAGUGGAGGAGAGUGGGAAUAGAGAAGAGAAUAAAGAAAAUGAGAAUACUACUAAUAUAGUUUCUGAAGGAGCGAGCAAAGAGGCUGGGAAGGAAUUCUCGUUUGGAAAGAAUGGGAACAGAGGGAACCGACAGCCUGCUCGAUUGGGUCCAAAAGAUAAGAAGAUUAGCAACAUGAGAGGCCUGAAUCCUCAUAAGACCAAACUGAGAAAUAUUGGGCCUAUGCGGGGUUUGGUGUUUGGCCCAAUAAGUGGGGAGAGUGGCUUGUCGGCGAGAGGGAAGAGACUACGAGUAGAGAAGGAAAAUGUCGGCCGACCAGGUGGUGUUUUCGCAGGAGAUGGGGAGCUAGACAGAAAUGAGAAGAAUGCUGGGCAUGUGUACGAUAAAAACAACACUCAGGUGCAAUUUUCAGAGAUGGAGAAUCUGAAAUUGAAUGAGGCAGAAGCUAGUGCGAGCCAAGGACGAGAAGUCCUGGAGAGUGUGGAGGCAUAACAUUUUGCCCCGGUGAUUCUAUCUAUUGAUUAUAAAGAUCUGAUGAAGUGCAUUCUGUGGAAUUGCCGGGGGGCAAAUAAACCCCAAUUUAGAAGAUCGAUUAGAUAUUUGGUGAAGAAGUUCAAGACAGAUAUACUUGCUGUUUUUGAAACUCAUGCUGGUGGAGAAGCGGCAGGCCGGAUUUGUCGUGGUCUAGGGUUUGAGAACUCGUUUCGGGUGGAUGCGUGUGGCCAGAGUGGAGGUUUAUGGCUGUUAUGGAGGGAGGAGAUAGGAGAGCUUGAGGUGGUCAAGUCGUCGGAUCAGUUUAUACAUGCUCGAAUAGGGAACGGAGCAGAGGUGAUUAAUCUGGUUGUUGUGUAUGCGGCCCCUUCACCAAGCCGUAGAAGUGGUUUAUGGGCUGCUUUAGAAGAAGUUUUGCGUAAUGCGGAGGGACCGGUGUUCGUUGGGGGAGACUUUAAUACAAUAGUGAGGAUAGAUGAAAGGAGUGGUGGGAAUGGGAGAUUGUCUGAGGAUUCUCUAAAGUUUGGUGAUUGGAUAAAUGAUAUGUCACUGAUUGAUAUGGGCUUUCAUGGCAACCAGUUCACAUGGAAAAGAGGGAAAACUGAAAGCACAUUUGUAGCGAAGAGGCUGGAUAGAAUACUAUGUUGUGCCCAGUCUAGACUCAGGUGGCAGGAGGCAAGUGUGAGGCAUUUACCUUUCUUAGCAUCAGACCACGCUCCUUUGUAUCUACAGCUCACACCGGAGGUUAAGAGUGAUGCACGUCGACGUCCAUUUCGUUUUGAGGCGGCAUGGCUACAACACAAUGAGUUUCAAGACUUGCUAACAGCUUCAUGGGAUCGUGAUAUUGAUACAAGAGAGGCUUUGCAGAGGUUGGAAGUGACACUCCGAAAGUGGAACAGAGAAGUUUUUGGAAAUAUCCAAAGAAGGAAAGAGGAUUUGUUGAGGCAGAUUACAGAGACACAAGAUAAAAUUGAGCAAGACCUCUCUGAUGAUAUCUUGGUAAAGGAGGGAGAGCUACUAAAAGAACUGGAGAUCGUCCUCGAGCAAGAAGAAGUGCUCUGGCUCCAAAAGUCGCGGGAGAAGUGGUGUGUGCAUGGAGAUAGAAAUACCAAGUUCUUUCAUAUGUCGACAAUUAUUAGGAGAAAGCGAAAUCGAGUGGAGAUGCUAAAGAAAGAUGAAAUUCAGUGGGUAUCAGAUGCAAAAGAACUUGAGAAGCUAGCAGUGGAUUAUUUCAGAAAACUAUAUUCUCUGGAAGACGUGGAUACAGACACACAAAUGCUAAUGGAGAGGAGAUUUGUGGGGCUUACAAGACAAGAGAGAAUGGAUCUUGACAAAACGUUUUCUCCGGAGGAAGUAGAGAAGGCGGUGAGAGCUAUGGGCAGCUUCAAGGCACCAGGUCCGGAUGGGUUUCAACCAGUUUUCUAUCAGAAGUGCUGGGAGACUGUUGGUGCAUCUGUGAUCAGGUUUGUCCUUCUUUUCUUUGAGACGGGGAAGUUGCCGGAGAAUACUAAUGAUGCACUCGUGGUGCUAAUUCCGAAAGUGACGAAACCUGAGUAUAUUACUCAGUUUCGACCUAUAAGUCUCUGCAAUGUGUUGUUUAAAACUAUCACGAAGGCCAUGGUAGGGAGACUGAAGAGUAUUAUGCCUAAACUGAUUGGUCCUGCUCAGUCUAGUUUCAUCCCGGGCAGAUUGAGUGCGGAUAACAUUGUUGUGGUUCAGGAAGCUGUUCAUUCGAUGAAAAAGAAGCAAGGCCGCAAGGGUUGGAUGCUGUUGAAACUGGAUUUGGAGAAAGCCUAUGAUAGGCUGCGUUGGGAUUUUCUAGAAGAUACACUAAGGGCUGCUGGUUUGUCUGAGAAUUGGGUCAAGAGGAUUAUGUAAUGUGUGUCUGGACCAUCAAUGUGUAUUUUGUGGAAUGGGGAAAAAUCUGAGCCGUUUAAGCCAUCAAGAGGACUGCGACAAGGUGAUCCACUGUCCCCGUACUUGUUUGUCUUAUGCAUGGAGAGAUUAUGUCAACUGAUUGAGAAAGCAGUGGAGGAUAAAAGAUGGAAACCGAUAAGAUUGUCGAGAGGUGGUCCACAGCUAUCUCACAUUUGCUUCGCAGAUGAUCUAAUCCUGUUUGCAGAGGCAUCGGUGACGCAGAUUCGAGUGAUCAGGAAAGUGUUGGAGAAGUUUUGUAAAGCCUCUGGUCAGAAAGUAAGCCUCCAGAAAUCAAAGAUUUUCUUUUCUAAUAAUGUCUCUAGAGGAAGAGAAGAGAGAAUAAGCAGAGAAAGUGGUAUUGCAUCAACAAAGGAGCUGGGAAAAUACUUGGGGAUGCCGAUACUACAGAAAAGAAUUAAUAAAGAUACUUUUGGAGAGGUACUGGAGAAAGUAGCUUCACGGCUAGCAGGAUGGAAGAAACAAACAUUAAGCCUCGCAGGAAGGGUAACAUUGACAAAGUCGGUCCUGUCAUCAAUCCCGGUGCAUACGAUGAGUACGAUUAGCAUGCCAGUGGGUAUACUGGAGAAGCUUGAUAGCCUAGCGAGGAGCUUUGUGUGGGGAAGUGGACAACACUUAGUCUCUUGGGAUAAAAUAUGCAAACCGAAGGCGUCUGGAGGUUUGGGGAUCAGGGUGUCGAGAGAUAUGAACAAAGCCUUGUUAGCUAAAGUGGGAUGGCGUCUGUUACACGAUACUGAGAGCUUAUGGGCCAAUGUUUUACGAAGUAAGUACGGGGUGGGGGACAUACAUGACACAGAUUGGAUGGUAGGGAGUAGCUCUAGCUCGUCAACAUGGAAAAGUGUGGUAAUGGGGAUAAGAGAAGUGGUUCUUGUGGGCCAUAGUUGGAUCACUGGUAAUGGGAGGAAUAUCAGGUUCUGGACGGAUAGUUGGAUAGCAGGCCAACCACUCAUGACUGAAGUGAUUGCAGGGCUUCCAGAAGGAUAUGAAGAUAUAACAGUUAGAGAUAUGUGGGGGGAAGGUGGAGGUUGGGAUUUUGAUAGAAUUACCCCGUUUGUAACAGCUGAGAGAAGACUAGAGCUUAUGGCAGUAGUAGUGGAUACUGUUACUGGAGCAAAGGAUCGUUUGGCAUGGGGGCAGACUCCAAAUGGGCAGUUUACGGUGAAGUCUGCAUACACCUUGCUUACAAGAGAUGAAAAUCCAAGACCGCAGAUGGGGAGUUUCUUUCGAUCUAUGUGGCGUGUUGUAGCACCUGAGAGAGUUCGAAUGUUCCUCUGGCUAGUGGAAAACCAAGCAAUCAUGACAAAUGCAGAGAGACAUCGAAGGCACCUGAGUGGGACUGACUUAUGCCAGGUUUGCAGAGGAGGAAUUGAGACUAUAAUACAUGUGUUACGUGAUUGUCCUGCGAUAAAAGGUAUAUGGGAGAGAUUUGUUCCGCGAAUGAAAAGGGAGGCUUUCUUCAGAAUGCCAUUACUGGAAUGGUUAUAUAAGAACCUAUGUGAUAACAAUGCAGGUGGUGGUGUUCCGUGGGCUACUAUAUUCGCUUUGACUCUAUGGUGGGGAUGGAAGUGGAGAUGUGGAAAUGUAUUUGGUGAUACCCGACUGUGGAGAGAUAGAGUCAAGUUCUUACGUGACUUGGCUAAGGGAGUUAUAAUAGCAAAUAGAACAGAGAAUGCUCACAUAAAGGAGAGACAUAUGGUUGAGAUAAUGGUGGGAUGGAAGCCACCUUGUGUGGGGUGGAUGAAACUGAACACGGACGGGGCAUCACAUGGGAACCCGGGGCCGGCGGCUGCAGGGGGAGCACUGCGAAACGGAGAAGGCGAGUGGUGUGGCGGUUUUGCGAUUAAUAUAGGUAGCUGUACGGCACCAUUAGCGGAGUUAUGGGGUGUGUACUAUGGUUUAGUGGUUGCUUGGGAGAAAGGGGUGAGAAGGCUGGAGGUAGAGGUCGACUCUAUGAUGGUGAUGGAGUUUCUUACGAUAGGGAUUGGGGACACUCAUCCGCUGUCUUUCCUGGUACGCUUGUGCCAUGGCUUCUUGACAAGGGACUGGCUAGUCCGAUUUGUUCAUGUAUAUAGGGAAGCAAACCGCUUAGCUGAUGGUUUGGCUAACCUUGCAUUUACUCUUCCGUUUGGUUUUCAUAGUUUUGUUGUGGCCCCGAUUGAGGUCGCUGUUUUAGUUCAUGAGGAUGUUGCUGGACCGUUGUGGCCACGACAAACUCGUCUUGUAAGCUGAAGUUUGGGUUUCUUUUUUAAAUAAAUUGGGAGUCACUCUCCCAUAUUCCUACCAAAAAAAAAAAUAGCGACUACAUAUAUUUCUUCCCUUUUAUGACAACAAUUUUGGUUUGGAGAUAGUUCGAUCAAAGUAGAGCCAAAAUGUAUUCAGCUCAAUUAAGCUCGAGAUACUCUCCUCCGUUUUAAAAUGUUACAUAUUUUAGAUUUUUUACACAUGUUAAUAAAACACAUUAAUUUUCAUAAUUUUUGUGAUUAUUUUUUCCCAUAAUUUUAAGUCAAUAAAACUCUAAUAAGUACAAUUAAUUUUUUUUAAGUUUGCAAUUAGAUAAUAAAACAUGCAUUGAAAAUCCAGAAAAUAGAUCAUUUUGAAACAAAUUUUUUUUCUAUAUAAUAUGUAACUUUAUGAAACAGAAGGAGUAUUUUGUUUCCAUUUUGUUACCAAAAAUUAAGCACAUGCCAUUAAUUAAUGCUUACAACGGAAUUACUAAACCGUGUUGUGUUCAGUGAGAUCGUAUAACUUUACCUUGCUUUUUUCGAUUCACAUAUAAGCCCGAUAUAGACAAUAACACCGAUUGAAGCUUUUAUUAAUCAAAUUCGAACGAAACGUUUUACAAACGAAGGUAAGGUAGAACAAUGAAGUAAAAGGGCAACGAACAUGGCGAUUACACACACAAACCCAUUAUUGCAUGAGAACGUUACACUCAUCAUUUUAUUCAAUCGAAGAAAGUUACAAAUACAAAAGAAAUCACCAGUUUAAAAGCAAAAGACUACAGGCAACAAGUUCAACCUUUAUUUUUUCGGUAUGUCUUCAGAUAUCUCAUACGUAUUCAACUUACGGGCAUUGGAAACUUGGUGGAGCAAAUCUGCUACAAGCAUUUAAAAGUACGCUGAUAUCGAUGGGAAGGUGAACGUUGAUGCCAAGAACGUUAACGUCGAGCGCGGUACAGAGACAGACUGCAGCCUCAAGGUCAGCCAAGCCUGCAAUGAGCGAGCAGCACGGCGGUACUGGUGGCGGUGGGUUUCCUAAUGUUAAGUCAAUUGCAUUGAGCACAUUAGUGCAAGCACCGAUCUGAAGGGCAUUUCUAGGACAAGUGCCUUGAGCAGUAGUGUAAGUGAAGAAGAGGAGGUUAAGGAAAAGGAAGAGUGCAAGAGAGGUUCUUGGAGCCAUUUGUUUGUGUACCAGAAAAACUCUGAAACAAAAUCUCAGGAAGUAGUAGUGUGUUUAUAUUCUU